GACAGAGGUGGCAAGCGUUGUUCGGAUUCAUUGGGUGUAAAGGGCAGGUAGGCUGUUUUGCAAGUCUGACGUGAAAUCCCAGGGCUCAACCCUGGAACUGCGUUGGAAACUGCAUGACUUGAGUAUCGUAGAGGUUAGGGGAAUUCUCGGUGUAAGGGUGAAAGUUGUAGAUAUCGAGAGGAACACCAGUGGCGAAGGCGCCUAACUGGCCGGUGACUGACGCUGAGCUGCGAAAGCAAGGGGAGCAAACAGG
RNAcentral lists this ribosomal RNA (253 nucleotides) under uncultured bacterium. RNAcentral's name for it is "partial 16S ribosomal RNA". It matches the Rfam family "Bacterial small subunit ribosomal RNA", at positions 524 to 776 of the family's 1533-position model. The record is from RNAcentral.